Long non-coding RNA from Vigna radiata var. radiata (mung bean), 301 nucleotides. RefSeq lists it as uncharacterized. Lineage: Eukaryota; Viridiplantae; Streptophyta; Magnoliopsida; Fabales; Fabaceae. The transcript has 2 exons. The record is from RefSeq and is a predicted model, not a curated record.
GUUCAAAUAAAUUCAAUGGGAAAACCAUGCCAAAUUACUCUAAUGAGGAAUUGCUUGCAAUAAGAAAGCAAUACGUACGUGAUUGGAUCUUGGAUAAAGACAACAUAAGAAUACUAGAUGCGUUGGAGGUGUACGAAUUGUUGUAGGACAUUUGUUGUUUUGUAAAAAUGUAGGGCAGUUUGUUUUUGUAUAGUUUGUAAGAUACACAAAUGUAUAUGAAUACAUUGUGGAAAUUAUUAUUGUAAUAAUAUUAUUGAUUUCAAGGUUCUUAUGUCAGAAUGUAUAGAUGAUUGUUCAUUCA